Molecule: ribosomal RNA, 484 nt
Filed under: uncultured bacterium
Lineage: Bacteria
Description: partial 16S ribosomal RNA
Rfam family: Bacterial small subunit ribosomal RNA
Source: RNAcentral
AUUGAACGCUGGCGGCAUGCUUUACACAUGCAAGUCGAACGGCAGCUCGGGCUUCGGCCUGGCGGCGAGUGGCGAACGUGUGAGUAAUGCAUCGGAACGUGCCCGGUAGUGUGGGAUAGCCCGGCGAAAGCCGUAUUAAUUCCGCAUACGACCUGAGAGUGAAAGCGGGCGACCGAACGGCUUCGCGCGAUUGGAGCGGCCGAUGUCGGUUUAGCUAGUUGGUGGGGUAAAGGCCUACCAAGGCGACGAUCCGUAACUGGUCUGAGAGGACGACGAGCCACACUGGGAGUGAGACACGGCCCAGACUCCUACAGGAGGAAGCAGUGGGGAAUUUUGGAGAAGGGGGGCAACCCUGAUCCAGCCAUGCCGCGUGCGGGAAGAAGGCCUUCGGGCUGUAAACCGCAUUUGUUCGGGAAGAAAUCAUCUGGGCUAAUAACCCGAGGGGAUGACGGUACCGGAAGAAUAAGCACCGGCUAACUACGUG